GAUGAACGCUGGCGGCGUGCCUAAUACAUGCAAGUCGAGCGGACAGAUGAGGAGCUUGCUCCUCUGACGUUAGCGGCGGACGGGUGAGUAACACGUGGAUAACCUACCUAUAAGACUGGGAUAACUUCGGGAAACCGGAGCUAAUACCGGAUAAUAUAUUGAACCGCAUGGUUCAAUAGUGAAAGACGGUUUUGCUGUCACUUAUAGAUGGAUCCGCGCCGCAUUAGCUAGUUGGUAAGGUAACGGCUUACCAAGGCAACGAUGCGUAGCCGACCUGAGAGGGUGAUCGGCCACACUGGAACUGAGACACGGUCCAGACUCCUACGGGAGGCAGCAAUAGGGAAUCUUCCGCAAUGGGCGAAAGCCUGACGGAGCAACGCCGCGUGAGUGAUGAAGGUCUUCGGAUCGUAAAACUCUGUUAUUAGGGAAGAACAAAUGUGUAAGUAACUAUGCACGUCUUGACGGUACCUAAUCAGAAAGCCACGGCUAACUACGUG
Molecule: ribosomal RNA, 497 nt
Filed under: uncultured bacterium
Lineage: Bacteria
Description: partial 16S ribosomal RNA
Rfam family: Bacterial small subunit ribosomal RNA
Source: RNAcentral